This 253-nucleotide ribosomal RNA is filed under the name uncultured bacterium. RNAcentral's name for it is "partial 16S ribosomal RNA". It matches the Rfam family "Bacterial small subunit ribosomal RNA", at positions 524 to 776 of the family's 1533-position model. The record is from RNAcentral.
AACGUAGGAUGCAAGCGUUAUCCGGAAUUAUUGGGCGUAAAGCGUCCGCAGGCUGCUCUGUAAGUCUGCUGUUAAAGACCGCAGCUCAACUGCGGAGAGGCAGUGGAAACUGGAGAGCUAGAGUAUGGUAGGGGUAGAGGGAAGUCCCAGUGUAGCGGUGAAAUGCGUAGAGAUUGGGAAGAACACAAGUGGCGAAAGCGCUCUACUGGGCCAUAACUGACGCUCAGGGACGAAAGCUAGGGGAGCGAAAGGG